AAAAAGACAAACCCUGGGUUUUCGUGUCCAACUUUAACGGUCCGUCUUAUAUGAAAUUUUUUUAUAAUUCGUAUUUUCAUUAUUGUUAGAUGAUAAAACAUGAUUAAUAUUUUAUGCGUGACUUGUCUUUUUAUUUUUUUCAUAAUUUUUUCAAAUAAGACGGACGGUCAAACGUUAAACACGGAAACU
RNAcentral lists this microRNA precursor (189 nucleotides) under Oryza rufipogon (brownbeard rice). RNAcentral's name for it is "MIR812 microRNA precursor family". It matches the Rfam family "MIR812 microRNA precursor family". Lineage: Eukaryota; Viridiplantae; Streptophyta; Magnoliopsida; Poales; Poaceae. The record is from Rfam by way of RNAcentral.